GAGAGUUAAACAGUACGUGAAAUUGUUGAAAGGGAAACGAUUGAAGUCAGUCAUACCAACGGGAAAUCAACCUCUUGAGUUUGGUCUCGUGGGUUUCGAAGAGUUUAAAAGCCUUCGGAUUUUCGAGAUUGGGCUCUUCUGGUGUACUUUCUCGUACGGUUAGUCAACAUCGGUUUUGAAUGUCAUAAAAUGACUGGAGGAAUGUGGCUUCGAUCUCGUAUUGAAGUGUUAUAACCUUUGGUAGAUGUGAUGUUUGAGACCGAGGAUUGCAACGGAUACCCUUCUGGGCUAUUCGUCUGAUCUCUGAAACGUUGCCUUGAUGUCGAAAGCUUGCUUAUGAUGCUAGGUAAUACGGUCAAAAGGUUAGAACGGAUUAAAUUCGUUAAGGAUGUUGACGUAAUGACUUUAAACGA
RNAcentral lists this ribosomal RNA (413 nucleotides) under uncultured Funneliformis. RNAcentral describes it as "partial 28S ribosomal RNA". The record is from RNAcentral. Lineage: Eukaryota; Fungi; Glomeromycota; Glomeromycetes; Glomerales; Glomeraceae.